CCGGAGCCAGGCCGUCUCCAGCCCGGGGAAAACUGUCCCUGGCCGGCUGCUGCCCUGGCCUGCCGGCGGGGCCGGGCAAGGGGCUCCCGGCCUCCCGGCACAGCCGCGGCACUGGGGGUCUCCAGGCCCCCGGGAGGCCCUCCCUAGGAUGCCCUCCCGGCGGCCUCAGCAUUCGCGGCCUCAGCGCCCUCUCUCCCCUACGUCUCUCAGAAAGGCUGCCUGACGACAGGCCUGCUCGGGGAGGCCUUGUCGCCGCCCUGACUCGUGCAGCCCUUACGUCGGAAUUAGUCGUGGCCACAAAUACACAAUCACAGAGCUGAAGGUGGCCCGGGAGACGUCUUAGGCGGGUGGUCUCAUUGUGCGCAUGGAGGAAACAAGGAAGACGGGGACAGGGGGAUGGGAAGAGGUUCAGUUCUCAGGGCAAGUCAUAGACAGCACAGGGGCCCCCUCCCUGCCCGGGGUCGCAUGCUGGUAACCACGCUGAGCUAGAGGCCCAGCCCAGAGGGUUGGUCAGAGCCCCCUGAGGUCCUGAGCCCUUUCUGCCCUUCGUCAUCACCCUCCGCUCUCUUUCCCUUGUCCUUCUUCCCUCCUUAAGAUCUCUCUAGCCUCACUUUCUCUCUGUCCCCAUCUCCCUCUGCCCCGCCCCUCCUUCUGCUUGUCUAGGGAGACCUGGGCUGCGUGUGCGGGCGCGCGUGUGUUUCCUGCCUUUGGCCGGGGAAGGAUGUUCCUCCUCUGAAUCUCUCCCUCAGCAUCCAGCCCCCGGUAGAUGACAAGUUACCCAACUGUUGAGUCUGAAGCGUCAGAGCCAGGGGCCACGUGACCCUGACCUGCAUGCACCCCGUUCUUCUCCCCUACCACACCCCUCCCAGGCUUCUCUACCCUGCUAGGAAUCUUCUCUGUGUUCUUCUGAUGGUCCACUGCCCUCCAGCUAAACACAUUUCCCCCAGUGGCUGUCACACUGCCUGAUCUCUCACCAUUAUUUCCGUAGAUUCCUGGUGAAUGCAACUCUACAGGGUUUGGUCAACUCUCUUCUGUUGCUGCCUUCACUCAGGUUUCGUGCCUCAAAUCUGAUCUGGGCUGUGGACCUCGAGGUUGCCUGUGUCCCGAGGAAAGGGAAUCUCCGGCCUCAGCAACUGGAUGGGGAGAAUAACUUUGGGAGACUUCCAGGUUCCUGCGUGGUCACCUGCGGUCCCCUUGAGGCCAGCCCUGCUGUGCACGGACCUAUAGAGCAUAAGUCUCUAGGGUGAUGCAGAGGGCUCCCCUAUGGGCAGACCUGAUAAGAGUGUAGGAGAUAGGAAAGGGGUCCAGUCCGUGAGGAACCAGCUACGUUGGCCUGGGAAGUAGUGCUUGUGUGUUAACCAUCGGCCCCGUGUCCACUGUCCUCUCUACGCUGGGCGGUACGUCGUCCCAUCCAAGCCUUUCAUUCACUCCUCACAGAGACUCUCUGCAGCAGAAGUGACCGACCUGGGUUUGGAGACAGGAAGGUGAGACCCAGUUUCUGAGACCUGCUCAGGGCGACCAGCCAUGGACCAGAAAACUCAGCUCUAUUCGACAGAGAAACUCACCUCUCUUUCCCGAUUCAUCCUCCCCCCCCCCCCCAGAUUUCGGGGUGUCUCUUCUAAACUGUGACCUUCAGAACCAGUUGCCAGUGGCGAAGUCAACAAAGGUGUCCUUAAUGACUCCAGUCCACAACCACCCCAGGCUGCCCCAUCCCUUUCUGGCAACCAAGAGCAGCCUCCUGCCUCUAAGCCUCCACGUCGGCCUGUCGCUAGCUCAUUUCUCAGGUAACUGCUAGGAGAAGAAUCCUAAAAGGCACAUUGCUGAGAAAUGAAAUGGAAUAAAAUAAUAAUGGAAAGAAAGAUGAAGGCAUGAAAGAUAAUAGCGACCCAGCACGUUUGAUGUGACCCCCACUUACGGGAAAUCAUAUAGGUGAGCACAUCUAUGUCUAAGAACAUUGAGAUGCAUGGAGAGAGACAGAGACAGACAGAGACAGAGAUUUAGGCUUAUGUCUCGUGUCGUGGAUGCCAUUGAUGUGUAGUCAGGCACUAAGUUCACCUGAGGAACAAGCCAAACAUGAUUCUUUUCCAGUUG
This is a long non-coding RNA of Felis catus (domestic cat), 2091 nucleotides long. RefSeq lists it as uncharacterized. The transcript is spliced from 2 exons. The record is from RefSeq and is a predicted model, not a curated record. NCBI's taxonomy places the organism in Eukaryota, Metazoa, Chordata, Mammalia, Carnivora, Felidae.